RNAcentral lists this unclassified non-coding RNA (380 nucleotides) under soil metagenome. Its description in RNAcentral is "partial contains 5.8S ribosomal RNA, internal transcribed spacer 2, and large subunit ribosomal RNA". The stretch from base 1 to 120 matches the Rfam family "5.8S ribosomal RNA", at positions 35 to 154 of the family's 154-position model. The record is from RNAcentral.
GAUGAAGAACGUAGCGAAAUGCUAUAAGUAAUGUGAAUUGCAGAAUUCAGUGAAUCAUCGAAUCUUUGAACGCACCUUGCACCCUUUGGCAUUCUGAAGGGUAUGCUCGUUUGAGUGUCAUUGUACUCUCACACUCCCGAUCUUUGCAUUGGGAGCAGUGGACUUGGGUUUGCUGCUUCACCGUCGCUUACCUCAAAUAGGUUAGUGCAACUCUUGGUUGGACAUAGUACGGCGUGAUAAGUGUUCUUCGCCGGUGCCUCGCAAAGAGGGUGGCCGAUCGGGAUGUUGUGCUCCAAACCGUCUUCGGACAAUCUCUGACGACUUGACCUCAAAUCGAGUAAGACUACCCGCUGAACUUAAGCAUAUCAAUAAGCGGAGGA